This is a long non-coding RNA of Cuculus canorus (common cuckoo), 1365 nucleotides long. RefSeq lists it as uncharacterized. The record is from RefSeq and is a predicted model, not a curated record. The transcript has 3 exons. Lineage: Eukaryota; Metazoa; Chordata; Aves; Cuculiformes; Cuculidae.
CAUCACGGACAUCCUCUGUGCUGCCUAUGCACUUGAUUGGCAAGUGGAUGCUAAAGAGAAGAUGAAUUUCCUUCCAAUCUUUUUUCCGUUCCUCCUGUUUUUCCUUUGGUUUAUACUCCUUAUUUUUAUGUAGCUAGCAGUAGCCUUGCUAAAGACACUGUAGUCCUCCAGUGUGCACUAGUAUAUUUAAUAAAUGAACUUCGGAUCCUGUGAUGGAUUGGCACCAUCCCUUUUUAGGUAUGAAAGGACAUGUUGUCCUGUCACUUACAUGUAAACAAACUGUGCAUUACUUCAUCCCUGCUACCAUUUGUUACUUUUAGAACCUGCACAAUGAGAUACUAAAACAGAAGAAAAUAGGUAAAGGAGUGGAAAGCAGUUGAAUUAUUUGAAAUUGUAUGAGAUACCAGCAAUCUCCACAGGAAUGUAACUUUUUUAGUUCAAGUUGACAUUUAAAUUGCAUUUUGUGCUGGAAAGAAAAGUCAGUGGGAGAAGAGGAAUAUCAAAUGAAAUAGUGGCACAUGUGGUGAGUCACAUUUGCUAUUAUUUUGUAAGUAUUAUAAAAAUAUAUCAGAUUUUAUUGGAAUUGACAGAAAAUUAUUAAAAAUUUGAGAUAAAGUUUUCUUUUGAUAAACUGUACCUUACAGAUGGCACAUCACAGAAAAUUCUUUUCUUGUUAAGAAAUCAAAGCAGUUCAGGGAACACGGCAGCAUCAGUAUAAUAAUAGUUGACAGGUACCGUGGCUGUGAACAAACACCCAUAUCAUGGUAUCUGAGAUACCAUAUUUUUCCCACUAAAAUUAAACCAUGAGAUAUCUUUGACAAUGCUGUGUUAAUGAUAUGCUAGCAUUUGCUUCAGUUUGGCUUAAUACUGCUUUAAUUCCCUCACUUACAGGUCUUUUUUGGAGUUCAUCAAGGAUGUGUGUUUAGAAACUUCUUUCUACACAUACUUUCAAAUCCACCCCAAGGAGAGCUCCAGUAAGUUCUGAAGUGUUGGACAUGUGCUGCACAUCAUGGUGUAAAGUGUGGAGCAUGAAGCGUUCAUAGCUGUCCCAUCAUUAAGCGAAGCCUGUCCUUCUUGCCCUGCCUGUGUCAAGGCCACCUCCUUGGGCUCUGCACACCCGAUGGCACCACUCAUUGCCUACUGGAUUUGUGGGAAUGAAGGGUUUAGAAACAUACGAGUGAGGAAAAAAAAAAGACUCCAGCACUGGCUUCAUGGGUACAAAGAUGCCAGAGUGUCAAGCAGAGCUGGGACCAGCUUGUCUUCAGGUGUGUUGCUUUUUACUGAAGUCAGUCCAAGGAGAGAACAAGAAGAAAGUACUUCCAGAGGGUGAUUAAUCCCAUCUUAAACAAGUGUGUAAGACAGGUA